GCGUCCUCACUCUGAGAAUUCCCGACAAGUCAGCCAAUCUCUCAGACCCUCAAGACUACAUGGUGCAAGGGGUGAUGAGUCAACGGCGUGCACUGCUCAGGAGCAGCGACAACCAUCGUGUAAUGUUUUGAAAAACAAAAGUUCCAAAAUCGAAUCCCCUCUUCCGGAUGGGCGACGUGCGGAAGGAUCAUUAUUGAACUGUGUUUUUCAAAAACACUUACUCGAUGGGUUGUCGCUGGCUCCUCUGGAGCAUGUGCACGCCUGUCUUGACUUCAUUCAUCCACCUGUGCACCACUUGUAGUCUUUGAGGGGUCUGAGAGAUUGGCUGACUUGUCGGGAAAUGAAGAACGCAGCGAAAUGCGAUAAGUAAUGUGAAUUGCAGAAUUCAGUGAAUCAUCGAAUCUUUGAACGCACCUUGCGCUCCUUGGUAUUCCGAGGAGCAUGCCUGUUUGAGUGUCAUUAAAUUCUCAACUCCUCCAGCUUUUGUUAAGUUGGCUUUGGAGCUUGGAUUGUGGAGGUUUGCUGGCCCUUCUAUUGACUGGGUUCAGCUCCUCUGAAAUACAUUAGCGGAACCGUUUGCAAUCCGCCACAGGUGUGAUAAUUAUCUACGCCAGUGGGUUGCUCUCUGUGUUCGGCUGCCAAUCGUCUCUGCUUCAAGAGACAAUUUUCUGAAUGCUUGACCUCAAAUCAAGUAGGAGUACCAGCUGAACUUAAGCAUAUCUUAUCCGGAAAAAAGAAAAAAUUUUGAACUGUUGUUUUUCAAAACCUUACUCGAUGGGUUGUCGCUGCUCUCUGGAGCAUGUGCACGCCUGUCUUGACUUCAUCAUCCACUGUGCACCACUGUAGUCUUUGAGGGGUCUGAGAGAUUGGCCUGACUUGUGGGAAAUUUCGGAGUGAGGACUGC
RNAcentral lists this ribosomal RNA (904 nucleotides) under Chlorophyllum molybdites. Its description in RNAcentral is "eukaryotic LSU rRNA". The stretch from base 341 to 459 matches the Rfam family "5.8S ribosomal RNA", at positions 36 to 154 of the family's 154-position model. Lineage: Eukaryota; Fungi; Basidiomycota; Agaricomycetes; Agaricales; Agaricaceae. The record is from RNAcentral.